RNAcentral lists this unclassified non-coding RNA (337 nucleotides) under Melitaea cinxia (Glanville fritillary). Its description in RNAcentral is "misc RNA ENSMCXG00005011665.1". The record is from RNAcentral. Lineage: Eukaryota; Metazoa; Arthropoda; Insecta; Lepidoptera; Nymphalidae.
GCUUUGGUUGACUGGUUGUGUUGAAUUAAACUUGUGAAUUUAAUAGUAGGUAAUUUACUACAGAAAAUUUUUAAAGUCGUGCGUGAUACAAUUAAUUUAAAAAAAGCAUGAGAUAACUUGAAGGCCAUGGCUCGCAAAACAAGAGCUGCAGAGAGGCGCAAUUUAACAAAGACUGGUGGCCAUCGUGGCGGAGGUGGGCCAUCUAAUCCCCCACAUUCACCACAGCAGGGAGCCAUAAUAAGCAUGGUUGAGGAGGAGGAGGUACAAAUGGCUUUUAAUAAAAAUUGCAUUCAUUUGUUUCUGUUCUUCAGACUGCUCCAAUAAUAAUAUGUCAAGU